GAAAUCCUCAAAAUAAAUCUUUUGUUCAUUCGAUUGAUUUUAUUUUGGACUUGGAGGUCUGCAGAUUCACGUCUGCUCCUCUUAAAUGUAUUAGCUGGAUCUCAGUGAACUCGGUUCCACUCGGCGUGAUAAGUAUCACUCGCUGAGGACACUGUAAAAGGUGGCCGGGGUUGCAGACGAACCGCUUCUAAUCGUCCAUUGACUUGGACAAUUUAUUUAUGAUCUGAUCUCAAAUCAGGUAGGACUACCCGCUGAACUUAA
Molecule: unclassified non-coding RNA, 261 nt
Filed under: Ceratobasidium sp. AG-I
Lineage: Eukaryota; Fungi; Basidiomycota; Agaricomycetes; Cantharellales; Ceratobasidiaceae
Description: ITS2
Source: RNAcentral